Salvia splendens (bonfire salvia) is the source of this 749-nucleotide long non-coding RNA. RefSeq lists it as uncharacterized. The transcript is spliced from 3 exons. The record is from RefSeq and is a predicted model, not a curated record. Lineage: Eukaryota; Viridiplantae; Streptophyta; Magnoliopsida; Lamiales; Lamiaceae.
AAUCUGGGGUGGGAUUUGUAGUAUAGGGAAAUUAGAGGGGUUGAAUUUGUCUUUUGUAAGAGUCUGGGUAUUUGAUUGAAGAUCUCCCCCAUUCUCGGAAACCCCAGCCGCCUCCCCUUUAUUCUUCCUCACUUCUUCCUUGUUUCCCAUCGCAAAGCUGCCGCCGCCGUCGAUGCUCUUCGAUGGAUAGGCCCUUGUCGGAGAAGGCGUCGUCCAGACCCUUGUCGGAGAAGGCGUCGUCAUUUCACGGGAGGGACGCUGAGGACGACAUGCUUCCGAGGCUGGAGGCUGGAGGUAUGGCCGACAUGCUUCCGAGGCUGAGGACGGUGCCGGGCUUGCUGGCCGGCAGAAGAGGCGGCGGGAGUUCGGCAACUCCACCGAGGACGGUGGAUAGGCGCUGUCCGUCGGUGCUUUGGCCCCGCACCUCCUCUGCUUCUUCCUCCUUUUCCACCGCAAAGCCGCCGAUGCUCCUUCACCCUCUGAGAGCUCUAGCGUCGGCGCCGCCGGCUGCUGACUGAAUACUCCGAGACGUCGAUUGGAAGGAGAAGUCGGUUGCUUAUAACCAACAAAACCAGAUUCAGGAAUGUGUUGACAUGCUUGUUGCCUCCUCUGUUCAUCCUCACGAUGCUUGAAAUUUUCAUCAUCUUCUUCUUUGUCCCGAAGUUUAGCAGAUUCGCCGCUGGUUUUCUUCGGGUGGCUGAGCCUUCUCCGACCACGGGUUCCUUUUUCAAGCCUCAGUUGAUGCAAGC